AAGGUAGGGGCAAUAAAUCACAAUGCGGGGCUUUAUGUUUUGCAAUUGGAUUGAGAACAAAGUUCAAAUUUUAUCGAUAAACCCAUGGAGGGCAAGUCUGGUGCCAGCAGCCGCGGUAAUUCCAGCUCCAAUAGCGUAUAUUAACGUUGUUGCAGUUAAAAAGCUCGUAGUUGAAGUGAGGGAGUGUGUGUUCAUGAGAGCUAGUCUCGAGUGUUCACAACCUCCCCCCUCCAAUCGGUGUAGUGGGGUAUUCAGUUAUUUCACUACUCCUUUGGUCGUUUACUGUGAGAAAAUUAGAGUGUUCAAAGCGGGCGUUUGUUUGAAUAGAUUAGCAUGGAAUAAUGAUUGAAGGCUUUCGUGUUCGAUUUGAUUGGUUUGUUCAUGGAAGCAAGGUUAAAAGGAACAGUUGGGGGUAUUCAUAUUCACUAGUUAGAGGUGAAAUUCUCGGAUUUAUGGAAGAUGAACAAGGGCGAAAGCAA
Molecule: ribosomal RNA, 479 nt
Filed under: Blastocystis sp.
Lineage: Eukaryota; Bigyra; Opalinata; Blastocystidae
Description: SSU rRNA
Rfam family: Eukaryotic small subunit ribosomal RNA
Source: RNAcentral